CCUACGUGUGGCAGCAGUGAGGAAUAUUGGUCAAUGGACGAGAGUCUGAACCAGCCAAGUAGCGUGAAGGAUGACUGCCCUAUGGGUUGUAAACUUCUUUUAUAUGGGAAUAAAAUAGGGCAUGCAUACCUUUUUGUAUGUACUAUAUGAAUAAGGAUCGGCUAACUCCGUGCCAGCAGCCGCGGUAAUACGGAGGCUCCGAGCGUUAUCCGGAUUUAUUGGGUUUAAAGGGAGCGUAGGUGGAUUGUUAAGUCAGUUGUGAAAGUUUGCGGCUCAAACGUAAAAUUGCAGUUGAUACUGGCAGUCUUGAGUACAGUAGAGGGUGGCGGAAUUCGUGGUGUAGCGGUGAAAUGCUUAGGUAUCACGAAGAACUCCGAUUGCGAAGGCAGCUGA
Molecule: ribosomal RNA, 393 nt
Filed under: uncultured bacterium
Lineage: Bacteria
Description: partial 16S ribosomal RNA
Rfam family: Bacterial small subunit ribosomal RNA
Source: RNAcentral